CGGUUAUCAUGGUACCGCUGCUGUAUAUAUGAAAGGUACAGUACUGUGAUAACUGAA
RNAcentral lists this microRNA precursor (57 nucleotides) under Xenopus laevis (African clawed frog). RNAcentral's name for it is "Xla-Mir-101-P2a-v2_pre stem-loop". It matches the Rfam family "mir-101 microRNA precursor family", at positions 11 to 67 of the family's 75-position model. Rfam says of the family: The hairpin precursors (represented here) are predicted based on base pairing and cross-species conservation -- their extents are not known. In this case the mature sequence is excised from the 3' arm of the hairpin. This family also contains a predicted homologue of mir-101 from Tetraodon fluviatilis. The record is from RNAcentral. Lineage: Eukaryota; Metazoa; Chordata; Amphibia; Anura; Pipidae.